CCUACGGGUGACUGCAGUGGGGGAUAUUGCACAAUGGAGGAAACUCUGAUGCAGCGACGCCGCGUGAGGGAAGACGGUCUUCGGAUUGUAAACCUCUGUCUUUGGGGAAGAAAAUGACGGUACCCAAAGAGGAAGCUCCGGCUAACUACGUGCCGGCAGCGGCGGUAAUACGUAGGGAGCGAGCGUUGUCCGGAAUUACGGGGUGAAAGGGGGGCGUAGGCGGGCGAGAAAGUUGAAUGUUAAUUCUACCGGCUUAACUGGUAGCUGCGUUCAAAACUUCUUGUCUUGAGUGAAGUAGAGGCAGGCGGAAUGCCUGGUGUAGCGGUGAAAUGCGUAGAUAUUAGGCGGAACACCAGUGGCGAAGGCGGCCUGCUGGGCUUUAACUGACGCUGAGGCUCGAAAGCGUGGGGAGCAAACAGGAUUAGAUACCCUAGUAGUC
This 439-nucleotide ribosomal RNA is filed under the name uncultured bacterium. RNAcentral describes it as "partial 16S ribosomal RNA". It matches the Rfam family "Bacterial small subunit ribosomal RNA", at positions 338 to 795 of the family's 1533-position model. The record is from RNAcentral.